UUCUUCGGGGUUGGGUGUAAUUCCCUACUGGCGGUACAGUCCGCGACCCGGGACAGAAGAAAGGUAACUGCAAUAACAGUGCCUUGCGUUCAACUGUCACGGCUGACUCGGUGAAAGUCCGGGACCAACAGUAAAGUCUGGAUGAAAGAAGAG
This 153-nucleotide non-coding RNA is filed under the name uncultured Acetatifactor sp. Its description in RNAcentral is "FMN riboswitch (RFN element)". It matches the Rfam family "FMN riboswitch aptamer (RFN element)". Rfam says of the family: The RFN element is a highly conserved domain that is found frequently in the 5'-untranslated regions of prokaryotic mRNAs that encode for flavin mononucleotide (FMN) biosynthesis and transport proteins. The record is from RNAcentral. Lineage: Bacteria; Bacillati; Bacillota; Clostridia; Lachnospirales; Lachnospiraceae.